This 117-nucleotide microRNA precursor is filed under the name Gossypium arboreum. RNAcentral describes it as "miR2947 stem-loop (gar-MIR2947)". The record is from miRBase by way of RNAcentral. Lineage: Eukaryota; Viridiplantae; Streptophyta; Magnoliopsida; Malvales; Malvaceae.
AGCUUGUUAAGCGAAGUUACGUUAUGGGCAUGGUAUGGAUUGCUGUUUUUGAUGAUUUGUUGCUUUCAUUAACAGCAAAUUAUACCGUGCCCAUGACUGUAGCAUCACUCGGCAGCU